Ciona intestinalis (vase tunicate) is the source of this 1483-nucleotide non-coding RNA. The record is from RefSeq and is a predicted model, not a curated record. Lineage: Eukaryota; Metazoa; Chordata; Ascidiacea; Phlebobranchia; Cionidae.
AGCAUUUUUUAGUCGUAAAAGCGAUCGUUGCAAAACAAGUGGCUUGAAAGAUAUUCGUGGAUUGUGGUCAAUAGUGAUGGAAGUUGCCGCUGUUCAACCUGUUGCUGGGCACAAGAGAAUGGCCGUAAAGCAUCGGUCCAUGCUAACGCGGUGAAACGGAGCCCAUGGUUUUUAGAAAAUAACGGAUGGAAAGAUUUUUUAGGAAAGGAAUGAACAGCAUCGAGAAGCACGCUCAAGCGAAGUAUCACAACGAAGCUGAGACCGCAAUGAAUGUAAGUUUAACAUUACUAGAAGUUGCAAAACGUAUUGCUUUAGGCCCUCUUUAGUGGUUUUAUACAUUCUAAGUCAGUUGAUAAAUUGUUUAUUUACAGAUUGGACUAAACGAAUCAGCCAACAUAAGCCGAAUCGAUCGCAGAGUAGAACAAUUCCAAAAAUCAAACCGGGUUGCAAUGAGCGCAAUCAAUCAUUGAUGCGCUUCGUUAUUUGGGCGAAUGCUGCUCUGCCAUUCGCGGCCACUGCGACGAAAAGCAAUCGAGUAAUUUAUGGAGAUUAAUUAGGCUUCUGUGUCGGUACAAUCCAACCAUUAAACAGUAUUUUGAUGAUGGUACAGCUACUAAGUUUGACAUUCAAAAUGAAAUUUUAUCUGUAAUCAGUAAUAAUGUAACACGUGUUCUUAUUGGAAAUAUCAAAACACAAUCCCGUGGCGAACAGCAUAUGUCAUCUGUAUUUUCAAUCAUCAUUGAUGAGACAUCAGAUUUGUCAAAUUUGGAGCAGGUGAGUGUUUGCAUUCGCUACGCCACAGACCAACUUCAUAGUAACGAAAGUUUUCUCGGAUUUUAUGAAACGUCGGAAACUGAUGCAUCCAAACUGCGAAAAAUUGUCGACGAUGUUUUGUUAAGGUUUGGUCUUAACAUACAGCAGCUACGCGGCCAAGGUUAUGACGGCGGGAGUAACAUGUCCGGAAAAAUAAGGGGUCUUCAGAAAAGAAUUUCUGAUGAUAACUGCAAGGCUCUUUACUUUCAUUGUACAGGGCAUCAGCUAAACCUCAUAUGCCAGGACGCAUGUGCUGCAAACCCUUUAGUUGGACAAGCGAUGGGCCAUAUUAACAAGAUUAUUAAUUAUAUAAAGGAAUCUCCAAAACGCUGGACUGCGUUUCAAUGUGUUGUAUUUGAAGGCUAUCAAAAGAUCCGACCUUUAUGUCCGACACGUUGGGUUCAAAGUCCAUAGAAAUCACAAGUUAAGAAAGGAACAAUUUGGACGCCAUUUUUGUUCGAAGAAUUUGGCGGGAAAGAGAAAGCUACCGGUACAUUCCAUGACCACACUGCGUGGCGAAAAGUUUACUAAAUGCAACAAAAAGUGCAGAACAUUCGGUAUUGGGGGAAAUUAUGAUCAUCUUCACUUGUGGCAACUGCAACCAGGAGUUUAACUUUCCAGUGAAGCAAGGAGAUGCUGCUGAAUAAAGUGAUCUGAACAGAUAUCGAUU